CGUUGGCUCCAGACAAAUAAACAUGGAGUCCAUCUUCCACGAGAAAAAAUGAAAGAUCAUUUAUAUGCAAUUAUAAGGAACACUGGUUUACAGUUAGAAAAUUAGGAAAACAGUGGUUUAACUUGAAUUCUCUCUUGACGGGUCCAGAAUUAAUAUCAGAUACAUAUCUUGCACUUUUCUUGGCUCAAUUACAACAGGAAGGUUAUUCUAUAUUUGUUGUUAAGGGUGAUCUGCCAGAUUGCGAAGCUGACCAACUCCUGCAGAUGAUUAGGGUCCAACAGAUGCACCGACCAAAACUUAUUGGAGAAGAAUUAGCACAACUAAAAGAGCAAAGAGUCCAUAAAACAGACCUGGAACGAGUGUUAGAAGCAAAUGAUGGCUCAGGAAUGUUAGACGAAGACGAGGAGGAUUUGCAGAGGGCUCUGGCACUAAGUCGCCAAGAAAUUGACAUGGAAGAUGAGGAAGCAGAUCUCCGCAGGGCUAUUCAGCUAAGUAUGCAAGGUAGUUCCAGAAAUAUAUCUCAAGAUAUUCCACAGACAUCAGGUACAAAUCUUACUUCAGAAGAGCUUCGGAAGAGACGAGAAGCCUACUUUGAAAAGUAAAGUAGUUGACAGCAGCAAAAGCAGCAACAGCAGCCGCAAAAGCAGCAACAGCAGCCGCAACAGCAGCAGCAGCAGCAGCAGGGGGACCUAUCAGGACAGAGUUCACAUCCAUGUGAAAGGCCAACCACCAGUUCAGGAGCACUUGGGAGUGAUC
This 756-nucleotide small RNA is filed under the name Pongo abelii (Sumatran orangutan). Its description in RNAcentral is "processed transcript". Lineage: Eukaryota; Metazoa; Chordata; Mammalia; Primates; Hominidae. The record is from RNAcentral.